This 253-nucleotide ribosomal RNA is filed under the name uncultured bacterium. RNAcentral describes it as "partial 16S ribosomal RNA". It matches the Rfam family "Bacterial small subunit ribosomal RNA", at positions 524 to 776 of the family's 1533-position model. The record is from RNAcentral.
UACAGAGGUCUCAAGCGUUGUUCGGAUUCAUUGGGCGUAAAGGGUGCGUAGGUGGCGUGGUAAGUCGGGUGUGAAAUUUCGGAGCUUAACUCCGAAACUGCACUCGAUACUGCUGUGCUUGAGGACUGGAGAGGAGACUGGAAUUUACGGUGUAGCAGUGAAAUGCGUAGAGAUCGUAAGGAAGACCAGUGGCGAAGGCGGGUCUCUGGACAGUUCCUGACACUGAGGCACGAAGGCCAGGGGAGCAAACGGG